UACGUAUGGAGCAAGCGUUAUCCGGAUUUACUGGGUGUAAAGGGUGCGUAGGCGGCACAGCAAGUCAGAUGUGAAAGACCGGGGCUCAACCCCGGGGCUGCAUUUGAAACUGCCGAGCUUGAGUCCGGGAGAGGCAGGCGGAAUUCCUAGUGUAGCGGUGAAAUGCGUAGAUAUUAGGAGGAACACCAGUGGCGAAGGCGGAUUACUGGACGACAACUGACGGUGAGGCGCGAAAGCGUGGGGAGCAAACAGG
Molecule: ribosomal RNA, 253 nt
Filed under: uncultured bacterium
Lineage: Bacteria
Description: partial 16S ribosomal RNA
Rfam family: Bacterial small subunit ribosomal RNA
Source: RNAcentral